RNAcentral lists this ribosomal RNA (477 nucleotides) under Triticum aestivum (bread wheat). Its description in RNAcentral is "partial small subunit ribosomal RNA". The record is from RNAcentral. Lineage: Eukaryota; Viridiplantae; Streptophyta; Magnoliopsida; Poales; Poaceae.
AUGCCCGGCUCCACCGUGCUACUGAUCGCCGCCUCCAUGGCCGCGCUCCUCGUCAUCUCCCUCUUCACCUUCCUCUGCUCCAACAGACGCGAGGCGCACCACGCGCCACCGUCGCUAUCCCAGCGGAGCGUCGUCGAUGUCGAGCUCGGUCACGGGUGCGUGGCCACAUGGAUUGACGAGGCCGUCCUGGCCGCGUACACGACCAUGGUGUACUCCUCGGCGGCGAGGCGGCGGGACGAAGGCCAGAUGGCUGCUGCCGAAGGGUUGGCCGACGGUGACCAGCCGCCCGAUGACACGGACACGCACACGACCUGCGUGGUGUGCCUGGCGGAGUACGCUGAUGGCGACGAGCUCCGGCGGCUGCCCGGCUGUAAGCACGCGUUCCACCGGCUGUGCGUCGACGAGUGGCUCCGGCGACGGCCGAGCUGCCCGCUCUGCCGCACGUCGCUGCCUGCGGGCACCACCGAUGACUCCUGA